Molecule: ribosomal RNA, 484 nt
Filed under: uncultured bacterium
Lineage: Bacteria
Description: partial 16S ribosomal RNA
Rfam family: Bacterial small subunit ribosomal RNA
Source: RNAcentral
AUUGAACGCUGGCGGCAGGCCUAACACAUGCAAGUCGAGCGGAUGAAGGGAGCUUGCUCCUGGAUUCAGCGGCGGACGGGUGAGUAAUGCCUAGGAAUCUGCCUGGUAGUGGGGGAUAACGUCCGGAAACGGGCGCUAAUACCGCAUACGUCCUGAGGGAGAAAGUGGGGGAUCUUCGGACCUCACGCUAUCAGAUGAGCCUAGGUCGGAUUAGCUAGUUGGUGGGGUAAAGGCCUACCAAGGCGACGAUCCGUAACUGGUCUGAGAGGAUGAUCAGUCACACUGGAACUGAGGCACGGUCCAGACUCCUACGGGAGGCAGCAGUGGGGAAUAUUGGACAAUGGGCGAAAGCCUGAUCCAGCCAUGCCGCGUGUGUGAAGAAGAUCUUCGGGUUGUAAAGCACUUUAAGUUGGGAGGAAGGGCAGUAAGUUAAUACCUUGCUGUUUUGACGUUACCAACAGAAUAAGCACCGGCUAACUUCGUG